GAUUUCUUCGGGAUGAAAGUUUUGUGACUGAGUGGCGGACGGGUGAGUAACGCGUGGGUAACCUGCCUCAUACAGGGGGAUAACAGUUAGAAAUGACUGCUAAUACCGCAUAAGACCACAGGAUUGCAUGAUCCGGUGGUAAAAACUCCGGUGGUAUGAGAUGGACCCGCGUCUGAUUAGGUAGUUGGUGGGGUAACGGCUCACCAAGCCGACGAUCAGUAGCCGACCUGAGAGGGUGACCGGCCACAUUGGGACUGAGACACGGCCCAAACUCCUACGGGAGGCAGCAGUGGGGAAUAUUGCACAAUGGGGGAAACCCUGAUGCAGCGACGCCGCGUGAGCGAUGAAGUAUUUCGGUAUGUAAAGCUCUAUCAGCAGGGAAGAAAAUGACGGUACCUGACUAAGAAGCACCGGCUAAAUACGUGCCAGCAGCCGCGGUAAUACGUAUGGUGCAAGCGUUAUCCGGAUUUACUGGGUGUAAAGGGAGCGUAGACGGAGAGGCAAGUCUGAUGUGAAAACCCGGGGCUCAACCCCGGGACUGCAUUGGAAACUGUUUUUCUAGAGUGUCGGAGAG
This 574-nucleotide ribosomal RNA is filed under the name uncultured Lachnospiraceae bacterium. RNAcentral's name for it is "bacterial SSU rRNA". It matches the Rfam family "Bacterial small subunit ribosomal RNA", at positions 70 to 656 of the family's 1533-position model. Lineage: Bacteria; Bacillati; Bacillota; Clostridia; Lachnospirales; Lachnospiraceae. The record is from RNAcentral.